ACACGACUACAUUAGAUACCCGGGUAGUCCAGGGUGUAAACGCUGCGGGCUUGGGUGUUGGGGGGGUCCCUUUUGAGGGCGCCCAGUGCCGGAGAGAAGUUGUUAAGCCUGCUGCUUGGGGAGUACGUCCGCAAGGAUGAAACUUAAAGGAAUUGGCGGGGGAGCACCGCAACGGGAGGAGCGUGCGGUUCAAUUGGAUUCAACGCCGGACAACUCACCAGGAGCGACGGUUACAUGAAGGCCAGGCUGAUGACCUUGCCUGAUUUUCCG
This 270-nucleotide ribosomal RNA is filed under the name uncultured archaeon. RNAcentral describes it as "partial 16S ribosomal RNA". It matches the Rfam family "Archaeal small subunit ribosomal RNA", at positions 717 to 982 of the family's 1478-position model. The record is from RNAcentral.